GAUGAACGCUGGCGGCGUGCCUAAUACAUGCAAGUCGAGCGAACGGACGAGAAGCUUGCUUCUCUGAUGUUAGCGGCGGACGGGUGAGUAACACGUGGAUAACCUACCUAUAAGACUGGGAUAACUUCGGGAAACCGGAGCUAAUACCGGAUGAUAUUUUGAACCGCAUGGUUCAAAAGUGAAAGACGGUCUUGCUGUCACUUAUAGAUGGAUCCGCGCUGCAUUAGCUAGUUGGUAAGGUAAUGGCUUACCAAGGCAACGAUGCAUAGCCGACCUGAGAGGGUGAUCGGCCACACUGGAACUGAGACACGGUCCAGACUCCUACGGGAGGCAGCAGUAGGGAAUCUUCCGCAAUGGGCGAAAGCCUGACGGAGCAACGCCGCGUGAGUGAUGGAGGUCUUCGGAUCGUAAAACUCUGUUAUUAGGGAAGAACAUAUGUGUAAGUAACUGUGCACAUCUUGACGGUACCUAAUCAGAAAGCCACGGCUAACUACGUG
RNAcentral lists this ribosomal RNA (497 nucleotides) under uncultured bacterium. RNAcentral describes it as "partial 16S ribosomal RNA". It matches the Rfam family "Bacterial small subunit ribosomal RNA", at positions 28 to 507 of the family's 1533-position model. The record is from RNAcentral.